AAUAUUGGACAAUGGGGGCAACACUGAUCCAGCCAUGCCGCGUGUGUGAAGAAGGUCUUCGGAUUGUAAAGCACUUUAAGUUGGGAGGAAGGGCUUUAGGUUAAUACCCUGAAGUUUUGACGUUACCAACAGAAGAAGCACCGGCUAACGCUUUGCCACCAGCCGCGGUAAUACAGAGGGUGCAAGCGUUAAUCCGAAUUACUGGGCGUAAAGAGCGGCGAGGUGGUUCCGUAAGUGGGCUGUGAAAUCACCGGGCUUAACCUGGGAACUGCUUUCAUAACUGCUGUGCUAGAGUACGGUAGAGGGUAGUGGAAUUACCUGUGUAGCGGUCCUCUGCGUAGAUAUAGGGAGGAACACCAGUGGCGAAGGCAACUACCUGGACUGAUACUGACACUGAGGUGCGAAAGCGUGGGGAGCAAAC
RNAcentral lists this ribosomal RNA (421 nucleotides) under uncultured bacterium. RNAcentral describes it as "partial 16S ribosomal RNA". It matches the Rfam family "Bacterial small subunit ribosomal RNA", at positions 360 to 773 of the family's 1533-position model. The record is from RNAcentral.